Molecule: ribosomal RNA, 253 nt
Filed under: uncultured bacterium
Lineage: Bacteria
Description: partial 16S ribosomal RNA
Rfam family: Bacterial small subunit ribosomal RNA
Source: RNAcentral
UACGUAGGGGGCUAGCGUUGUCCGGAAUCAUUGGGCGUAAAGCGCGUGUAGGCGGUUCGGUAAGUCCGCUGUGAAAGUCGGGGGCUCAACCCUCGGAAGCCGGUGGAUACUGUCGGGCUAGAGUACGGAAGAGGCGAGUGGAAUUCCUGGUGUAGCGGUGAAAUGCGCAGAUAUCAGGAGGAACACCAACGGCGAAGGCAGCUCGCUGGGACGGUACUGACGCUGAGACGCGAAAGCGUGGGGAGCGAACAGG